Non-coding RNA from Dermatophagoides farinae (American house dust mite), 1762 nucleotides. NCBI's taxonomy places the organism in Eukaryota, Metazoa, Arthropoda, Arachnida, Sarcoptiformes, Pyroglyphidae. The record is from RefSeq and is a predicted model, not a curated record.
UUUUUGCAGGGGGGUUUAUCAUCAUCAUCAUCAAUCGUUGUUCCCAAUGGAGAGAAAUAACAACGACGAUGCUUUUCCCCCCUUACAACAAUUAUGGUUGUUGUGUUGCAGCUGUGCAUACACAACAAACGCCAUUUCAUUUUAUGAACAAACGAAAAAACUGCUUUGUGUGUGUUGUGUUGUGUGCACGUAGUUUUCCACCCCACAAAAAAAAAAUUUAGUCAUAUCGACCUAUGAUGUGUAUGAUCAUAGAGAAAAUAACUAAAAAGGACAGCAGAUGUGCGCACUGCUGCCGUUGCAUGUCGCUUGAUUACACAUUCCUUUCUUUGUCUGUCUAUAUUUCCACAACACAGGACACGCCUCAUCUAACACAAAUACAAGUUUUUGUCAAGAAACACUAAAAACUACGCAGCAAAAUUUCCCCUCUUCAAACACACAAGUUAUCAUUAUCCCCCUUUUUCUCCCUCUCUAUAGUCGUCCGCUCAGUAACAACGACUCCACCACAGACAUUUUUUUUUUCAUUCCCCAUGAAUGAGAAAAACUCACAAACAACACACCCAAACUAAACUACAAUAUCUUAUUUCAAUCAAGCGGGUAUUUCUUUUCACCACAGGACACAAUAAAAAUCGACUAUCAAAAAAAAAAAAACAACGAAUCGUGUGCACCGAACAACAAUUCCUAUUACCCUCUUGCCCCAAACGAAAAUGCUUAAUUAAUUGAUUAAUUUGAAUUUGCCUUGAAACAACACAGCCAUAACAAAAGAGGGAGAGAACAAACGAUGAUGAUGAUGAUGAUGAUGAAUAUAAAAUGCAAUAGUACAUUGUGGGGAAAGAAAAAAAUUUGAUAUGAUGGAAAAAAACAAAUCCAAAAUGGACGAAAGACACACACAGUAUAUGUGUAGUAUAUUUGUAACUACAGUUGAAACUCGUUUUUAAUUUAAGGGAAAAUAAAGUAAUUCUCGAUUUUAUCAAUAUAAAUAAAUAAAUAGUACACAUCAUGUGAGUGAUAAAGUAAAUAACAUGUUUUUACAUUGAACAAAAAUUCUAUUCAUUUUAGAAAUUUCUGUUUUUUUUAGUAUCCGGUACACAUGGACAAAUUUCACCUAGAUUUCACUGUAUUUCAUUUAUUUUCUAUUACACAUUUUAUUUGGCUCGACAAAACACUUGAAAUAACAAAGAGAGAAAUGGAUUCGGCUUGGUGGAGAUUGGUGGAAUGUUGUGCCAUGGCAAAGAACUUAUCGUUGAUAAUGAUAAAGUUGCUUGGCUAUUUUUUGGGAACCAUACACAUGGUUGGUUGGUUGGCUGGUUGAUUGGUGGAGGUGUUUUUUUCCUGUUUUUUCCAUUCGAUUCAAUUUAUUCAAUUGCUCCCCCAUCGCCAUUACUAUAAUCAUCAUCAUCGUGUUUUCCCCUCUUGUUUCCCCUUUUUUUCUGUUCUGAACAUUUCAUAUCAAGCGAUAGUUUUUUUUUUUUUUGAACACGACAUUCACUCACUAACAAUUUAGAAUGGUCCGUAAAAAUCUGCUGGAUGAUGAUGCUGUGCAAACGACACGACCAAUGCAGCAGCAGCAGCCGUAGAUGAAAAUCCAAUCAUCAAUCAUGGUUCACAUGAACACCCCCCUUCCAUUCUUGGUCGAUGAGCCAGAAAUAAAUUUCAAUUUUUUUUUGAAUCACUGGCGCCACCUUGUGCUGGAAUUCGGGAAUAAAUCGAUAUCAAUCAAUGAUGAUGAUUUGCCAAUAAAACAAUGACAUUAUUAUAAAAAGAA